UCAGAUUGAACGCUGGCGGCAGGCUUAACACAUGCAAGUCGAGCGGAUGAAAGUAGCUUGCUACUGGAUUCAGCGGCGGACGGGUGAGUAAUGCUUAGGAAUCUGCCUAUUAGUGGGGGACAACAUCUCGAAAGGGAUGCUAAUACCGCAUACGUCCUACGGGAGAAAGCAGGGGAUCUUCGGACCUUGCGCUAAUAGAUGAGCCUAAGUCGGAUUAGCUAGUUGGUGGGGUAAAGGCCUACCAAGGCGACGAUCUGUAGCGGGUCUGAGAGGAUGAUCCGCCACACUGGGACUGAGACACGGCCCAGACUCCUACGGGAGGCAGCAGUGGGGAAUAUUGGACAAUGGGGGGAACCCUGAUCCAGCCAUGCCGCGUGUGUGAAGAAGGCCUUUUGGUUGUAAAGCACUUUAAGCGAGGAGGAGGAGCUCUUGGUUAAUACCCAAGAUGCUUGGACGUUACUCGCAGAAUAAGCACCGGCUAACUCUGUGCCAGCAGCCGCGGUAAUACAGAGGGUGCAAGCGUUAAUCGGAUUUACUGGGCGUAAAGCGCGCGUAGGUGGCCAAUUAAGUCAAAUGUGAAAUCCCCGAGCUUAACUUGGGAAUUGCAUUCGAUACUGGUUGGCUAGAGUAUGGGAGAGGAUGGUAGAAUUCCAGGUGUAGCGGUGAAAUGCGUAGAGAUCUGGAGGAAUACCGAUGGCGAAGGCAGCCAUCUGGCCUAAUACUGACACUGAGGUGCGAAAGCAUGGGGAGCAAACAGGAUUAGAUACCCUGGUAGUCCAUGCCGUAAACGAUGUCUACUAGCCGUUGGGGCCUUUGAGGCUUUAGUGGCGCAGCUAACGCGAUAAGUAGACCGCCUGGGGAGUACGGUCGCAAGACUAAAACUCAAAUGAAUUGACGGGGGCCCGCACAAGCGGUGGAGCAUGUGG
Molecule: ribosomal RNA, 926 nt
Filed under: uncultured bacterium
Lineage: Bacteria
Description: bacterial SSU rRNA
Rfam family: Bacterial small subunit ribosomal RNA
Source: RNAcentral